AGUCAUUCUUCAGCAAAUCCCGGAAGUAUUGUUUUUAAAGGGACAGAAUCAUUUCAUGGGCGAGGGCUUUGGACCAAGAGCCAAGCAGAAAAUAGCAAAGGCCCGUUGGCAGAGGUGCCUAUAGGACGUGGAAAGGAGACGAAAGGCAUUGAGAAAGCAGGAUUUGGUGUCCUCAUCGGUCAGAUAUAUCUUCGUUACACUGUGUACACAUUUCAACGCCGAUUACACUGAAGAUCUGGAGAUCCUGUCUAAAACUGGAUCAAACUCUUCCUCCUCCAGCUCUGAUGGGAUGUUAGUUUGCUGACUGCUGCGGCCCUGGUCAUUGUCAUCGUUAUAUGUGUUUGCUGUGGGUUGUGUCUCUGGAAUGCCUGGCUCAGGAUGCAGCCGCUGAGCAGUCCACUCCUUUCAGGAGCCAAGGUGAGGCGUGAUUGGCCGCUGGCCUUAUCUGGGUGGAGCUGUAGGAGGGAUAUUACUUAUUCAUUGGCACGUUCUGCAAGGCCCCUCCCACCUCACUGACGCUCUGCCCUUGGCCCCUGUUAGCUGCCUGUGUAUCUGGGAAUGCUGUUGUUGCAUCAGAGGGGCAGUGUUGGAGAUGGCCGAACUCGGGGGCUAAGGUCAGGGUCAAGAUUCAAGGGUCAACACAACUCAGAAGCUGCAGGGGUGGAUGUGGAAGGACCUGAAGCCAAGCUGCAGGCACCAACGGGCAUAAGCUGUAUGCACUGUGGAAAUCAGCUUGUUCUAACUCCACACCUGACCCCUGGAAACUAAAGCCUUUCAUCUAUGAGACGGGAAGCUUACUUUCACUUCCACAGCCUUGUUGCACUUGUUCAGACAUCCUAGAACUCUCUGGAGCUAGUGUCUUUAUUAUUUAACACUGCACAACUUCCCCUGAAACAAUCAC
RNAcentral lists this long non-coding RNA (901 nucleotides) under Sinocyclocheilus grahami. RNAcentral's name for it is "lncRNA (ENSSGRG00000034036.1)". The record is from RNAcentral. Lineage: Eukaryota; Metazoa; Chordata; Actinopteri; Cypriniformes; Cyprinidae.